UACGUAGGGUGCGAGCGUUACUCGGAAUUACUGGGCGUAAAGCGUGCGCAGGCGGUUCUCCAAGUCCGUUGUGAAAGCCCCGGGCUCAACCUGGGAAUGGCAUUUGAGACUGCAUAGCUAGGGUGCGGAAGAGGGAAGCGGAAUUUCCGGUGUAGCGGUGAAAUGCGUAGAUAUCGGAAGGAACACCAGUGGCGAAAGCGGCUUCCUGGUCCAGCACCGACGUUCAGGCACGAAAGCGUGGGGAGCAAACAGG
Molecule: ribosomal RNA, 253 nt
Filed under: uncultured bacterium
Lineage: Bacteria
Description: partial 16S ribosomal RNA
Rfam family: Bacterial small subunit ribosomal RNA
Source: RNAcentral